CAACAACGAGUGCUUUUACAUUGCUACCACUGGCAAAGCUCCUUGCUUGCCUUGCCACUGGCCAUUUACAAAGAACUCCGAUCUAUCCACCGACCGAUACGGACCGAUUCGUUUUGCUGAUUCAAUGGCAUGUCUGAGUGCGUGGACGAAGGAACGAAUAUACCACCGAUGAGAGUUAUCUUGGAAGGAGAAUGUAUGGAACAGCAUGGCGUUCUGAUAGAUAACUGCGUCGUAUUCGAGCUGGAUUCAAUGUAGGGCGGGCCAGGAUGGGAGAUUCAUCUUAUAUGUAAAAAGAGGGGCUCAUUCAUUGCAACGCGGUGCUCGUGAAUGAGAUCGAAUCGAUUUGCAGUUAAGUCAAGUCGAGCAGCCAGUUGAUUCGAGGGGAAACUCCUAUCCAAUAGGUGGACCCAGAGUCAUGGGCUGGGAGCCCAUACAGGGCAUGACUAAUCAAUAGUUCAAAGCAUAUGAAUGAGUGCUGGAAGGGCUUUCUCCUAUGAGUGGCUCUCUUUUUCUUAUCUAUCCACCCGGAUAGAGAAAGAGACACCCAAUGGUUCCAACCAAGAAAAAAAAAGAUAGAGACCUUCAAUUGAAUGGAGUGGCCACUCUUUGUGCCGGGGAAAGAGUCUUGUUCUCGUCCCCGUAGGAGCGACUAGUGCAUGGACCUUCGUGAGUCACGGGUAGGUGAGUAAGAAGAAAUGGAUCAAGUUUCUCCCAAGCCAUCUGUCAUUUCCUAAGACUGCGCUCCAU
Molecule: long non-coding RNA, 747 nt
Filed under: Amborella trichopoda
Lineage: Eukaryota; Viridiplantae; Streptophyta; Magnoliopsida; Amborellales; Amborellaceae
Description: long non-coding RNA (ATRI_LNC001236)
Source: RNAcentral